GCUCGGUACGGCGGGCGGAGCGCUGCUUGCCGGCCGGCUGUCAGCGCAGCCUCCUUCCCUUUCAUAUUGAGCCCUCCGGGCUAAGGGCAGGCGGAAGGGAGGCGGGCGGCUGCUGCCUGCUCGGGGCGCCGGGGCGGUCGCGAGGGGCGGGGCGGGAGUGCCGCUGGUGUGCGGGUAAACGUCCGGCUAUUUUUGUGCGUUGCUUUGUGCAGGAGACGUUAGUAGUUCUGAGGCGGUGUUUGCGGUCUGUGCGCGUCUUUGUGCUUUGUUGUCGUUCGGUGAGGUAACGUUGGCUGCUCGCUAGGGAUGCUGAGCUGCCAGGGGCACGUGGGCACGUCUGCAUCCCGGCCCUCUCUUCGCUGCCCGAUUAACCUCGGUUUCACAGAUGCUGGUCGUGCUGAAGCCCCGAGCUCUGCCCGUCCAACGAACGCUAUCGGGAACUGCCGGGUGAUGUGUAACAGUGAUGGGCAGAAUGUGCUCUGCUGCAUAAGGCACAGCGAGAGCUUCUGACUAACAGAAACAGUCUACCAGCUACUGCCACGUUUUCAUCUAUUGGUAAACAUCAUCUGCCAGUUGCUCUUAUGGGAGGAGGAUUGAAUUACUUCCAGAUGGAGAGCUCCUUCAGCCAAUUUUAGGCUUUCCAGCUGAUGUAAGACAGCAGGUCAGUAAUUCAGAGGUGUGGUUUUAUUCUUCUUCUUGCUGUUCUGCUUCCUACCACUAGUGGAAUUGGUGAUGUUAAAUACGAUAACGUGAUGCUGCCCAAAG
RNAcentral lists this long non-coding RNA (765 nucleotides) under Gallus gallus (chicken). RNAcentral's name for it is "long non-coding RNA NONGGAT004874". The record is from RNAcentral. Lineage: Eukaryota; Metazoa; Chordata; Aves; Galliformes; Phasianidae.